ACCAAUGCCUGGCUACAGGAUCCCCUGAAACUGGAACAAGCCCUUCUUUGACUUCAACCUGCUUUUCAGAAACCAGGGGAGAUAUGGCGGGAGGGGAAUACUUAGCUUCCACAUAGGCCACCGGCCAGGAGGAAGAGGGCUUAGAAUCGUGAAAGAGACUGGCCCAGGACCUGGGCUGGCUGACAGGAAGGGUGCCUGAUGCAGAGCCCGUGCCGUCAGCAGGAGGUAGUUUAUCCCCAGCUUGUGUGCCACACAGAACUGUUCCACUGCAUGGAGGAAGCUCAACUGAAGAUCGAGGAGUCACAAAGAACUGAUUGAAUUCAUCAGGGCUAAAAUCUCCAAAAAUAUACUGCGGGCUGUGGAGGGCCAUGGCUGCCGGUUUCAAUGGGACUCGGCGCUCCUCCGGCUGCUCACGCUGCCUCCCCCGCCGCCGCCAUCUUCUCCCCCGCACAUACACCCAUCUAUGACUAUUUCAAUAACUCCUAUAACAGAUGGAAUUUUUGCAAGUUUUAGAAUAACAAAUAACAUUAAAAAUCCUUAUGAAUAAACAUUAAUUUACCUAA
Homo sapiens (human) is the source of this 563-nucleotide long non-coding RNA. The record is from Ensembl. Lineage: Eukaryota; Metazoa; Chordata; Mammalia; Primates; Hominidae.